Molecule: long non-coding RNA, 518 nt
Filed under: Bos taurus (domestic cattle)
Lineage: Eukaryota; Metazoa; Chordata; Mammalia; Artiodactyla; Bovidae
Description: long non-coding RNA NONBTAT006385
Source: RNAcentral
CUAGCUAGCUGAAUCAUUAUCCCCAAGAUGCUAUUCUGCACUGCACCAGGGGAAAGGACAGCUAAGAAGAGUGAUUUUUUGGCUUGUGCUAAUCAUAUUCACUUGGUGAUAUUUACAGUCUUACUGCUCACUCCUCCUUUGAGUGGCGUUUCAAAAGUUUGAGGUAUCUAUAAAUAUCCCUUGCCUAUAACAGAUGCUCUCAUGUCUUCUUUGCCUCUUAUGGAUUUUAAGCAGAGAUAUUCAAUGGAUAAGCUGAGGAUCUGGUAAAUUCCACUUUAUUUUGAGUAGAAACAUUCAUCAAAGCCCAAAUAGACUCCUCUUUAGCCCACCUUAAAAAAAAUUGAUAGAUUCACAGAUAAAGCAAGUACAGAUAUUAAGAAGGUUUUUUUUCUUCUUUUUUUCAAACAUCUAUAUUUAAGGCAACAUUAGCUAAAUCACCUGACUAUCCUAUCAUUAGGUCUAAAAUGCUAGCCAAUGGAAACUGAUUUUUAUAAUGAUAAUCCUGAAAUGUUUAAAAA